GACAGUGUUGCUCAGUGGUUAGAGCGCUGGACUAGGACCUGGGAGACCAGGGUUCGAAUCCUCCCACCCCCCCUUAGUCA
Non-coding RNA from Podarcis lilfordi (Lilford's wall lizard), 80 nucleotides. The record is from the annotation of a GenBank genome assembly. NCBI's taxonomy places the organism in Eukaryota, Metazoa, Chordata, Lepidosauria, Squamata, Lacertidae.